CCUACGGGUGGCAGCAGUGGGGGAUAUUGCACAAUGGGGGGAACCCUGAUGCAGCGACGCCGCGUGGGUGAAGAAGUGUCUCGGCGCGUAAAGCCCUGUCAGCAGGGAAGAGAAUGACGGUAACCGGAGAAGAAACCCCGGCCAAACAAGGGGCCAGCAGCCGCGGUAAUACGUAGGGGGCAAGCGUUAUCCGGAUUUACUGGGUGAAAAGGGGGCGUAGACGGCAAGGCAAGUCAGAAGUGAAAGCCCAGGGCCCAACCACGGGACUGCUCUUGAAACUGGUUAGCUGGAGUACGGGAGGGGUAAGAGGAAUUCCUGGUGUAGCGGUGAAAUGCGUAGAUAUCAGGAGGAACACCAGUGGCGAAGGCGGCCUGCUGGACCGCAACUGACGUUGAGGCCCGAAAGCGUGGGGAGCAAACAGGAUUAGAUACCCGAGUAGUC
This 441-nucleotide ribosomal RNA is filed under the name uncultured bacterium. RNAcentral describes it as "partial 16S ribosomal RNA". It matches the Rfam family "Bacterial small subunit ribosomal RNA", at positions 338 to 795 of the family's 1533-position model. The record is from RNAcentral.